UAAUACCAAAUACCGAUAGGGCAACACCUCUUUCCAUUCCGAACAGAGAAGUUAAGACUAUUUUACUGAUGGUACUGCAUGGGAAGCUGUGCGGGAGUGUAGGUUUUAC
Molecule: ribosomal RNA, 109 nt
Filed under: Bacteroidota bacterium
Lineage: Bacteria; Pseudomonadati; Bacteroidota
Source: RNAcentral